RNAcentral lists this ribosomal RNA (328 nucleotides) under uncultured bacterium. RNAcentral describes it as "bacterial SSU rRNA". It matches the Rfam family "Bacterial small subunit ribosomal RNA", at positions 917 to 1249 of the family's 1533-position model. The record is from RNAcentral.
GGGCCCGCACAAGCGGUGGAGCAUGUGGUUUAAUUCGAUGAUACGCGAGGAACCUUACCAGGGUUUAAAUGGGAAUUGACAGAUGCAGAAAUGUGUCCUUCUUCGGACAAUUUUCAAGGUGCUGCAUGGUUGUCGUCAGCUCGUGCUGUGAAGUGUCGGGUUAAGUCCCAUAACGAGCGCAACCCUAUUUCUAGUUGCCAGCAGUUCGGCUGGGCACUCUAUGGAAACUGCCCGUGAUAAGCGGGAGGAAGGUGUGGAUGACGUCAAGUCCUCAUGGCCUUUAUGCCCAGGGCUGCACACGUGCUACAAUGGGACGUACAAAGGGAAG